Molecule: transfer RNA, 73 nt
Filed under: Streptomyces nigrescens
Lineage: Bacteria; Bacillati; Actinomycetota; Actinomycetes; Kitasatosporales; Streptomycetaceae
Also listed under: 1 other name
Description: tRNA-Asn
Rfam family: tRNA
About the family: Transfer RNA (tRNA) molecules are approximately 80 nucleotides in length. Their secondary structure includes four short double-helical elements and three loops (D, anti-codon, and T loops). Further hydrogen bonds mediate the characteristic L-shaped molecular structure. tRNAs have two regions of fundamental functional importance: the anti-codon, which is responsible for specific mRNA codon recognition, and the 3' end, to which the tRNAs corresponding amino acid is attached (by aminoacyl-tRNA synthetases). tRNAs cope with the degeneracy of the genetic code in two manners: having more than one tRNA (with a specific anti-codon) for a particular amino acid; and 'wobble' base-pairing, i.e. permitting non-standard base-pairing at the 3rd anti-codon position.
Source: RNAcentral
UGGCUCAUAGCUCAAUGGGUAGAGCAGCGGCUUGUUAAUCCGCCGGUUGGUGGUUCGAAUCCACCUGGGCCAG